Molecule: transfer RNA, 73 nt
Filed under: Rhizobium rosettiformans
Lineage: Bacteria; Pseudomonadati; Pseudomonadota; Alphaproteobacteria; Hyphomicrobiales; Rhizobiaceae
Description: tRNA-Phe
Rfam family: tRNA
About the family: Transfer RNA (tRNA) molecules are approximately 80 nucleotides in length.
Source: RNAcentral
CAGUAGCUCAGCCUGGUAGAGCACCUGUUUGAAGAGCAGGGUGUCGGUGGUUCGAAUCCAUCCUGUUGCACCA